AUUGAACGCUGGCGGCAGGCUUAACACAUGCAAGUCGAACGAGUGGCGGACGGGUGAGUAAUGCUUGGGAAUCUGGCUUAUGGAGGGGGAUAACUACGGGAAACGGUGGCUAAUACCGCAUACCAUAGGAUGAGCCCAAGUGGGAUUAGGUAGUUGGUGGGGUAAAGGCUCACCAAGAAGACGAUCCCUAGCUGGUCUGAGAGGAUGACCAGCCACACGGGGACUGAGACACGGCCCAGACUCCUACGGGAGGCAGCAGUGGGGAAUAUUGCGCAAUGGGCGAAAGCUGACGCAGCCAUGCCGCGUGAAUGAAGAAGGCCUUCGGGUUGUAAAGCUCUGUCGGUAGGGAGGCGUUAACUACAGAAGAAGCACCGGCUAACUCCGUGCCAGCAGCCGCGGUAAUUC
Molecule: ribosomal RNA, 405 nt
Filed under: uncultured bacterium
Lineage: Bacteria
Description: partial 16S ribosomal RNA
Rfam family: Bacterial small subunit ribosomal RNA
Source: RNAcentral